AAGCUGCUCCUGGUGCCCCUGGUCUGUUGGGGACCGUCUCCAGCAGACCAGGGGCAUCGGGAGCAAAGCAGCAGCCCCGGCAGAUUUGCUCGCGGUGCCCCUGGUCUGCUGGAGACCGUCUCCAGCAGACCAGGGGCACCGCGAGCAAAGCGG
Molecule: small nucleolar RNA, 153 nt
Organism: Pelodiscus sinensis (Chinese soft-shelled turtle)
Lineage: Eukaryota; Metazoa; Chordata; Testudines; Trionychidae
Source: Rfam